UACGGAGGGGGCUAGCGUUGUUCGGAAUUACUGGGCGUAAAGCGUACGUAGGCGGCCUUGUAAGUUAGAGGUGAAAGCCCGGGGCUCAACUCCGGAAUUGCCUUUAAGACUGCAUCGCUUGAAUCAUGGAGAGGUGAGUGGAAUUCCGAGUGUAGAGGUGAAAUUCGUAGAUAUUCGGAAGAACACCAGUGGCGAAGGCGACUCACUGGACAUGUAUUGACGCUGAGGUGCGAAAGCGUGGGGAGCAAACAGG
Molecule: ribosomal RNA, 253 nt
Filed under: uncultured bacterium
Lineage: Bacteria
Description: partial 16S ribosomal RNA
Rfam family: Bacterial small subunit ribosomal RNA
Source: RNAcentral